AUUGAACGCUGGCGGUAUGCUUAACACAUGCAAGUCGAACGGCAGCAUGGUAUGUAGCAAUACAUACUGAUGGCGAGUGGCGGACGGGUGAGUAACACGUAGGAAUCUACCCUAAAGCGGGGGAUAACCCGAGGAAACUCGGGCUAAUACCGCAUAAUUUCUGAGGAAAAAAGCUAGGUUUACCUGGCACUUUAGGAGGAGCCUGCGUCUGAUUAGCUAGUUGGUGGGGUAAAGGCCUACCAAGGCGUCGAUCAGUAGGUGGUCUGAGAGGAUGAUCACCCACACUGUGACUGAGACACUGCCCAGGCUCCUACGGGAGGCAGCAGUGGGGAAUAUUGGACAAUGGGGGCAACCCUGAUUCAGCAAUACCGCGUGUGUGAAGAAGGCCUUCGGGUUGUAAAGCACUUUAGGCUGGGAAGAAGGUUAUUAGUUUAAGAGAUGAAUAACUUGACGGUACCAGCAGAAUAAGCACCGGCUAACUCUGUGCCAGCCGCCGCCGUAA
RNAcentral lists this ribosomal RNA (502 nucleotides) under uncultured bacterium. RNAcentral's name for it is "partial 16S ribosomal RNA". It matches the Rfam family "Bacterial small subunit ribosomal RNA", at positions 30 to 523 of the family's 1533-position model. The record is from RNAcentral.